This 169-nucleotide ribosomal RNA is filed under the name Staphylococcus aureus. Its description in RNAcentral is "partial 23S ribosomal RNA". It matches the Rfam family "Bacterial large subunit ribosomal RNA", at positions 2757 to 2925 of the family's 2925-position model. The record is from RNAcentral. Lineage: Bacteria; Bacillati; Bacillota; Bacilli; Caryophanales; Staphylococcaceae.
GGACGGGAUAAGUGCUGAAAGCAUCUAAGCAUGAAGCCCCCCUCAAGAUGAGAUUUCCCAACUUCGGUUAUAAGAUCCCUCAAAGAUGAUGAGGUUAAUAGGUUCGAGGUGGAAGCAUGGUGACAUGUGGAGCUGACGAAUACUAAUCGAUCGAAGACUUAAUCAAAUU